GAGGGUGUAGCUCAGUGGUAGAGCGCAUACUUAGCAUGCACGAGGUCCUGGGUUCCAUCCCCAGUACCUCCA
This 72-nucleotide transfer RNA is filed under the name Camelus bactrianus (Bactrian camel). It matches the Rfam family "tRNA". Rfam says of the family: Transfer RNA (tRNA) molecules are approximately 80 nucleotides in length. Their secondary structure includes four short double-helical elements and three loops (D, anti-codon, and T loops). Further hydrogen bonds mediate the characteristic L-shaped molecular structure. tRNAs have two regions of fundamental functional importance: the anti-codon, which is responsible for specific mRNA codon recognition, and the 3' end, to which the tRNAs corresponding amino acid is attached (by aminoacyl-tRNA synthetases). tRNAs cope with the degeneracy of the genetic code in two manners: having more than one tRNA (with a specific anti-codon) for a particular amino acid; and 'wobble' base-pairing, i.e. permitting non-standard base-pairing at the 3rd anti-codon position. Lineage: Eukaryota; Metazoa; Chordata; Mammalia; Artiodactyla; Camelidae. RNAcentral also lists the same sequence under 2 other names. The record is from Rfam by way of RNAcentral.